Molecule: ribosomal RNA, 481 nt
Filed under: Fusarium sp. DY115-21-13-M5
Lineage: Eukaryota; Fungi; Ascomycota; Sordariomycetes; Hypocreales; Nectriaceae
Also listed under: 1 other name
Description: eukaryotic LSU rRNA
Rfam family: 5.8S ribosomal RNA (bases 129-282)
Source: RNAcentral
CCCCUGUGAACAUACCACUUGUUGCCUCGGCGGAUCAGCCCGCUCCCGGUAAAACGGGACGGCCCGCCAGAGGACCCCUAAACUCUGUUUCUAUAUGUAACUUCUGAGUAAAACCAUAAAUAAAUCAAAACUUUCAACAACGGAUCUCUUGGUUCUGGCAUCGAUGAAGAACGCAGCAAAAUGCGAUAAGUAAUGUGAAUUGCAGAAUUCAGUGAAUCAUCGAAUCUUUGAACGCACAUUGCGCCCGCCAGUAUUCUGGCGGGCAUGCCUGUUCGAGCGUCAUUUCAACCCUCAAGCACAGCUUGGUGUUGGGACUCGCGUUAAUUCGCGUUCCCCAAAUUGAUUGGCGGUCACGUCGAGCUUCCAUAGCGUAGUAGUAAAACCCUCGUUACUGGUAAUCGUCGCGGCCACGCCGUUAAACCCCAACUUCUGAAUGUUGACCUCGGAUCAGGUAGGAAUACCCGCUGAACUUAAGCAUAUC